Long non-coding RNA from Ictidomys tridecemlineatus (thirteen-lined ground squirrel), 2088 nucleotides. RefSeq lists it as uncharacterized. The record is from RefSeq and is a predicted model, not a curated record. Lineage: Eukaryota; Metazoa; Chordata; Mammalia; Rodentia; Sciuridae.
GAAUGACAUUAGUCAUCACCCUCGGUAGCCCUGGUGGGUCUCCCCUACAGUCUGGGAUGGAGUUGGCCCUGGAGAUGGUCACAUGCCCUCUAGUGUGCCCUGAACUUCGCAGCCAGAGGACACUCCAUGUGUGCUUACUCCUGGCAGGUGGAUUCCCCGCAGAGAGCGUGCUCACGGGGAAGAUGCAGAUCCAUCCUCCUCAGGUCCUCGGAGAUGGCUGCUUUAAAGACUCUGAGGACGGUGCCCAGGAGGUUUUGACAAGGUGGACCGAGAGGUGGACGAAAACCUCAGGAGACGGAAGCGAACUGGCCAUGAGCCAAUGCUCUCCUUUGACACCCGGGAAAACGGAGGCCCACAGGGAGGGAGCACCUCGCUCAGGAUCUCCCGGUGGAUGAGUAUGGAGAGCUGACUUGGCCCCCGGGUCCCCGGACUCUGGGGCGGACCCUUCUUCUGCUUGCUCAGAAUGAAGGGGGACUUGAAAGAAAGGAGGAGGGUGCGCCACCAUGUCCCUGAAACACCCAUUUCCCUUCCCAAGAACGAAUCAAGUCAAGAGCACAGUGAGCGUGAGCCAGACCGGAAUGUCCAGAUGAAUAUGAUCUCAAUGGACACUGACUCUCCCCGUCUCACGCCCUGAGACCCGGGGCAAGGGUGUCAUCUGUGGAAACGGCUUCUUGCUCCUAGACCAAGACAACUGUUCCUUGGAUCGCUGGGCAUGCAAAGGUGCAAAGGAAGCUCGUGACGUCACUGCGUCCGUAGCUUAGCCCAUAAAGCCCCUCUCCCUGAGCUCGGUGGGGAGGACAGGUGUUCGUCCAUCCGGACACGGCACCAUGGGCAUGGAGGUGCUACUGUCCAGCCUGUUGCUACUGGGUCUUCUUUCUUUUCAAUAAAGCUCUGACUCACAGGCCAUCUCCCUGUCUUCUUUGGUCUCCCAGCAACCCGUCCCUCUGCCCUCUCACAACUGGGUGGGGACGGUACACCUGCUGAUCUCCAGAAACUCCCAGGUAGGACUCCACCUGACGGCUUUCGACAGAGCCACAUCACUGCGAUUCUUGGAAUGUCCCGUGAAGGGAAGAGCCUGCCACCCUCCUUGAGGAAGCCGUCACGGCGACUCUCUGAGAUGACAAGAGGAGCCUGGGUUCACAAGCUCUUGGGUGGCAGAAUCAAGGCUAGAAGCAUCCCUUUGGGAGACUCUAUUGCCGUUUCCAUACGAACACCGUGCUGCUGUUCAGUUGAAUCUGGAAGGCUUCGUGGGGGCAAGCGUCAUGUGUCAGCAAUGACGUGAGCCGAGGUCAGGGGACGGUCGCUGACUUCUUCUCUUUGCUUCUUCCUAUCUGAGGUCUGAUUCCAGCCAGGGACGUUGGCAGAAAGGGCACAGUAACGUUUGCAGCUAAUAUUUAUGGAAAACUUUCUGUGUGCCAGGUCCCUGUGCCAAGCACUUUCCUUCCAUGAGCUCAUCCCUCUCUUUCAGAGUAGCCACUGGAGUGGGGAACGUCGUCAGCCCCAGAGGCGGAAACGGAGGCAGAAGGAGGUGAACUGAGAUAAGUGAAGCCAGCCCUGGUGCCUGCUGAGAUGGACUUAGUUGACACUCAGAGAGGAUCAGUGAUUUGGGGCACCUUUCUUCGUGUCUGGAACGGAACCACUCCCUUCACGUGACACAAGUGACCUCUUAUUUCUUCUUGAAGCUACCGAUGCUUUGGGUGUCAACUCUGACCACUUCUUAAUCCCUUUCAAGGGUCCCCUUCUUGCUGCCAACCCCCAGUGGCUUCCAAGUCACUGUGAUUUAAUUAUGUCCCCCAAAAUUCAUGCAUUGAAACGUUCCCCCCAAGUCAACAGUGCUGGGAGAGGAGGCUUAAUGGGAAGCGUCUAGGACUCUGCCCCCAAGGAUGGAUCAGAGCUGCCGUCGCAGGAAUGGUUUGGCUCUAAAAGUGAGUUGAGCCCCUCUUGCCUUCUCUGGGAUGCUCUCUUGACUUGUGGUACAUGCUGCCACGUUGGGGGCACAGCAAGAAGGUCUUGCCAGAUGCAACCCCUUGAUCUUAGACUUCCCUGCCUCAGAAUCAUAAGCCAGAUUAAAUUUCCAUUCAUUGUAAA